CCUACGGGAGGCAGCAGUAGGGAAUCUUCCACAAUGGGCGAAAGCCUGAUGGAGCAACGCCGCGUGGGUGAAGAAGGUCUUCGGAUCGUAAAACCCUGUUGUUAGAGAAGAAAGUGCGGGUGAGUAACUGUUCACGUGUCGACGGUAUCUAACCAGAAAGCCACGGCUUACUACGUGCCAGCAGCCGCGGUAAUACGUAGGUGGCAAGCGUUAUCCGGAUUUAUUGGGCGUAAAGGGAACGCAGGCGGUCUUUUAAGUCUGAUGUGAAAGCCUUCGGCUUAACCGGGGUAGUGCAUUGGAGACUGGGAGACUUGAGUGCAGGAGAGGAGAGUGGAACUCCAUGUGUAGCGGUGAAAUGCGUAGAUAUAUGGAAGAACACCAGUGGCGAAGGCGGCUCUCUGGUCUGUAACUGACGCUGAGGUUCGAAAGCGUGGGUAGCAAACAGGAUUAGAUACCCGUGUAGUC
This 465-nucleotide ribosomal RNA is filed under the name uncultured bacterium. RNAcentral's name for it is "partial 16S ribosomal RNA". It matches the Rfam family "Bacterial small subunit ribosomal RNA", at positions 338 to 795 of the family's 1533-position model. The record is from RNAcentral.